GAUGAACGCUAGCGGCAGGCCUAAUACAUGCAAGUCGAACGGUAGAUCGGGUAGCAAUACUUGAUUGAGAGUGACGUAAGGGUGCGUAACACGUAUGCAAUCUACCCUCAACAGGAGUAUAGCUCGGGGAAACUCGGAUUAACACUCCAUAACAUUACGAUGUGGCAUCACAUUGUGAUUAAAACUCCGGUGGUUGAGGAUGAGCAUGCGUCUGAUUAGUUAGUUGGAGGUGUAACGGACCCCCAAGACGAUGAUCAGUAGGGGAACUGAGAGGUUGAUCCCCCACACUGGCACUGAGAUACGGGCCAGACUCCUACGGGAGGCAGCAGUAGGGAAUAUUGGUCAAUGGGUGAGAGCCUGAACCAGCCAUGCCGCGUGCAGGAAGACGGCCUUCUGGGUUGUAAACUGCUUUUAUCUGGGGAUAAAAAGCCCAUGCGUGGGACAUUGAAGGUACCAGAUGAAUAAGCACCGGCUAACAACGUGCCAG
Molecule: ribosomal RNA, 487 nt
Filed under: uncultured bacterium
Lineage: Bacteria
Description: bacterial SSU rRNA
Rfam family: Bacterial small subunit ribosomal RNA
Source: RNAcentral